RNAcentral lists this long non-coding RNA (2417 nucleotides) under Homo sapiens (human). Its description in RNAcentral is "HSALNT0407839". The record is from RNAcentral. Lineage: Eukaryota; Metazoa; Chordata; Mammalia; Primates; Hominidae.
CAAUUCCGCUGAACUCGGCCCGAAAAGCCCCCUCUUGCCUCAAUUCCCCGAAGUAAAUCUGAGCUUUGUGCAGCUCCGGAGCCAGAGCGUCCAGAUGCGGUCCGGGAGAUUAGCAAAGUCGGUGGAAGCCAAGCUGGAGAAAGCGCGGGCGCAGGGAGAAAAGUAGCCCCAAGUGCCCUGCAUUUGCUCUUCUAACAAAGUUCUGUUUGUUGACGGACUGACCGGCUUACCGACACAAAGAUGGGAAGCAAAUGGAGAGACGGAUCAAGGCCCUUCCUCGGCAUCUGGAGGAAGCUUGGGCGAGUGUCUUGGUCGCCAGAGCUCAGAGCUCUCCGCUGAACUCUUAUCUCCAACUUGGCAACUAGACCGCGAGCUUGCGAAGCAAGGAGAGGACAGGGAUGGUCACCUACCGAGAACCUCUGUGCUCCAGCGCUGGGCCUGGCAUGUUCCCCAUCCAUCAUCUCAUUUAAUUCCCAGGACAGCCCUUUGAGGUAGGGUUUACCAAAGGUGAAUGAAACAGAGCCUCGGGAAAUUGCCCAAGUUCACAUAGCCACGUGGCUGAGUGUUUGAAUCUGGAUCAGGCUGUCUGCAAAGUUUUUACCCUCAGCCCUAAUCCCCGCUGCCUAGGAGGGUAAGGAGGCUGUCUAGAGUGCAGGUUCAGGGGUCAGUAGGCCUGGGUUUAAAUUCCUACUUUGCCAUUUGUUAGCGGUGAAGUCUUAGGCCAAUGGCUUCAUGCUUUGGUCUUCAAUUUUCCCAUCUGUUAAAUGGGGAUAACAAUGGUACCUAAUCUGUGGGGGUUGCUUAGCCUGAUUGGUGCCCGCAGUGUAGUAAAUGGCCAAUAAAUGCUGUUAUCGUACUGGACCUUCUGAUUAUUUUCCUUUUGCCUCCCGUCCCUGCCUCAGCUCACACACUUCAGAUUCAGUAAUACUUGCUGAAUGAUUAAUUUUAAAACCAGACUGAGAGGGGAUGAAGGAGGUCUAUAAACUCAGGGAGGAGAGAGAGAGAGAAAAAUGCAGAUUUCUUCUUAAAAUCCCACCCUCCAGAACCAAGGACUGCCUGAGCCAUAUGACAGGAGUAAAUUUGGGACCAAAAAAAGGUGACCACUUUUUACAGGUCAGCCUAUAAACUUACAGAGUGGUCUCCAGAAACAUAUACUCAAUACGUGUGUAGAAAAAACUUUAAAAGCACAAGUUUUUAUUCAAGAAUAUUUACAGCAGAAUUGUUGAUAAUAGUGGAAAAUGAAAAGGAACCUAAAUGUCUAUGGUAAGGGUGUGUCCCUUGGUACCUUGACACACACACACACACACACACACACACACACACAAUCCUGACUUUGAAAACUCUUAUUCAUAGGAAAAUAUUCAUAACAAAAUAUGAAAUAAAAAAUGCUGGGUACAAAGUUGCAUAAAUAUGAUGCCAAGCUGCAAAGGGCACAAAGGGAACAAAAUUAAAUACUCACUAUGUUUCCAAUCAUGUAUGAAUAUGUACAGAAAGCGACAGUCUGGAAAAUACCAAAAUGAUAACAGUGCCAGUAGAGUGGUAGGAUUAUGAGUGAUUUUCUUCUCUUUUCCCCAUAUUAUGCAAUAUUAUUCUUAUAAGUAAAUAUGAGUUUAUAGUUAAUAAACUCCAUAAAUAUUAUGUUCCCACUUUUGUUAAAAUAUAUGUGCAUAGAAAAAAUAUCCAUAAUCUCACUACUCAAUUAUAAUCACUGUUAACACCAAAAAUUGUUAACGGUGAUUAUAAUUGAGUAGUGGGAUUAUGGAUAAUAUUUUUAUUUUGCUUUUCUUUUUCUGCAGUAUGAUUAUAUUACUUUCUUACAAUUAAAACAGAUUCAUAAUUUGAAAAGUACAUAAUCAGAGGGAUCCCACUUGGGUUAAGAGUAUGAAUGUAAAUUGAAAAAAAUGAGAAGGAAGAAUACUAAAAUAUUAAGAGUUUUAUAUUAGGUGGUAAGGAAUUAUGGGUAAUUUCCUCUCUAUUUUCUGUAAUCUGCUUUUAUUAUUUUUACAAUUAAAAUAAAAUGUACCUAAAAAUAACAUAUACAAUAUGAUCCCACUUUUGUUAAAAACGAAUAUGUAUAUAGAAAAAAAUAAUAAACUACUCCAAAAUGUAGUAGUCUCUGGGUGGUGAGUUUAUUAGUGAUUUUUGUUUUCUCUUUCAUACAUGAUUUCUUCAUAUGCCAAAUUUUCUACAGUCAUCAUGUAUUAAUUUUUUUAAAAAGUGUAAAGUACUUCGGUAAUGAAGUUUUUAUGGAAAAAAGAGCAUGUCUGGGAUUUGCUUUAAAACAUUCCAGUUGAGGGUGGGGGGAAAGUGGACAGGGGAUAUAGAUUAAAUAAGAUGAUAAUUGUUGAAGAUGGCUUCAUUAUAAUGUGUUUUUGUUUAUUUGUUUGUUUGUUUUGAGACAGGGUCUCACUCUGGCA